Non-coding RNA from Tulasnella sp. 419, 93 nucleotides. NCBI's taxonomy places the organism in Eukaryota, Fungi, Basidiomycota, Agaricomycetes, Cantharellales, Tulasnellaceae. The record is from the annotation of a GenBank genome assembly.
GCCUCGUUAGCUUAGUGGUAGAGUGUGUCUUUCCUAGUCGCGGUUCGCCUGACUACCAGGACAAGGUCGCGGGUUCAACCCCCGCACGAGGUU